GGAAGGGGUGUAUUUAUUAGAUAAAAAACCAACGCGGUUCGCCGCUCCCUUGGUGAUUCAUAAUAACUUCUCGAAUCGCAUGGCCUUGUGCCGGCGAUGCUUCAUUCAAAUAUCUGCCCUAUCAACUCUCGAUGGUAGGAUAGAGGCCUACCAUGGUUUUAACGGGUAACGGGGAAUUAGGGUUCGAUUCCGGAGAGGGAGCCUGAGAAACGGCUACCACAUCCAAGGAAGGCAGCAGGCGCGCUAAUUACCCAAUCCCGAUACGGGGAGGUAGUGACAAUAAAUAACAAUACAGGGCUUUAUAGUCUUGUAAUUGGAAUGAGUACAAUUUAAAUCUCUUAACGAGGAACAAUUGGAGGGAAGUUGGUGCCAGCAGCCGCGGUAAUUCCAGCUCCAAAUAGCGUAUAUUAAAGUGGUUGAGUUAAAAAAGUCGAGUUGAAUUUUAGGGCCUGGUUGGGACGGCUGUUCUAGGGGUUGUCUGCCUGGACUGGUCUUACCCUUUGGUGAGGCUGCCUAUUGUUUACUAGUGCGGAGGGAACCAGGACUUUUAC
This 551-nucleotide ribosomal RNA is filed under the name uncultured fungus. RNAcentral's name for it is "bacterial SSU rRNA". It matches the Rfam family "Eukaryotic small subunit ribosomal RNA", at positions 194 to 755 of the family's 1831-position model. The record is from RNAcentral. Lineage: Eukaryota; Fungi.